AGUGAACGCUGGCGGUAGGCCUAACACAUGCAAGUCGAACGGCAGCACAGUAAGAGCUUGCUCUUACGGGUGGCGAGUGGCGGACGGGUGAGGAAUACAUCGGAAUCUACUUUUUCGUGGGGGAGAACGUAGGGAAACUUACGCUAAUACCGCAUACGACCUACGGGGGGAAGCAGGGGAUCUUCGGACCUUGCGCGGUUGAAUGAGCCGAUGUCGGGUUAGCUAGUUGGCGGGGUAAAGGCCCACCGAGGCGACGAUCCGUAGCGGGUCUGAGAGGAUGAUCCGCCACACUGGGACUGAGACACGGUCCAGACUCCUACGGGAGGCAGCAGUGGGGAAUAUUGGACGAUGGGCGCAAGCCUGCUCCAGCCAUACCGCGUGGGUGAAGAAGGCCUUCGGGUUGUAAAGCCCUUUUGUUGGGAAAGAAAAGCAGCAGGUUAAUACCCCGCUGUUCUGACGGUACCCAAAGAAUAAGCACCGGCUAACUUCGUG
Molecule: ribosomal RNA, 492 nt
Filed under: uncultured bacterium
Lineage: Bacteria
Description: partial 16S ribosomal RNA
Rfam family: Bacterial small subunit ribosomal RNA
Source: RNAcentral